Molecule: ribosomal RNA, 328 nt
Filed under: uncultured Niastella sp.
Lineage: Bacteria; Pseudomonadati; Bacteroidota; Chitinophagia; Chitinophagales; Chitinophagaceae
Description: bacterial SSU rRNA
Rfam family: Bacterial small subunit ribosomal RNA
Source: RNAcentral
UGCGUAGGUGGGCUAGUAAGUCCGUGGUGAAAUCCCUGAGCUUAACUUGGGAACUGCCAUUGAUACUAUUAGUCUUGAAUAUCGUGGAGGUAAGCGGAAUAUGUCAUGUAGCGGUGAAAUGCUUAGAUAUGACAUAGAACACCAAUUGCGAAGGCAGCUUGCUACACGGUCAUUGACACUGAGGCACGAAAGCGUGGGGAGCAAACAGGAUUAGAUACCCUGGUAGUCCACGCCCUAAACUAUGGAUACUCGACAUCAGCGAUACACAGUUGGUGUCUGAGCGAAAGCAUUAAGUAUCCCACCUGGGAAGUACGAUCGCAAGAUUGAA